Molecule: ribosomal RNA, 253 nt
Filed under: uncultured bacterium
Lineage: Bacteria
Description: partial 16S ribosomal RNA
Rfam family: Bacterial small subunit ribosomal RNA
Source: RNAcentral
UACGUAGGUGGCAAGCGUUAUCCGGAUUUACUGGGUGUAAAGGGCGUGUAGGCGGGAAAGCAAGUCAGAUGUGAAAACCAUGGGCUCAACCUGUGGCCUGCAUUUGAAACUGUUUUUCUUGAGUACUGGAGAGGCAGACGGAAUUCCUAGUGUAGCGGUGAAAUGCGUGGAUAUUAGGAGGAACACCAGUGGCGAAGGCGGUCUGCUGGACAGCAACUGACGCUGAGGCGCGAAAGCGUGGGGAGCAAACAGG